UACGUAGGGGCCUAGCGUUGUCCGGAUUUAUUGGGCGUAAAGAGCUCGUAGGCGGCUUGUCACGUCGACUGUGAAAACCCGGGGCUCAACUCCGGGCCUGCAGUCGAUACGGGCUGGCUUGAGUGCGGUAGGGGAGACUGGAAUUCCUGGUGUAGCGGUGAAAUGCGCAGAUAUCAGGAAGAACACCGACGGCGAAGGCAGCUCGCUGGGACGGUACUGACGCUGAGACGCGAAAGCGUGGGGAGCGAACAGG
Molecule: ribosomal RNA, 253 nt
Filed under: uncultured bacterium
Lineage: Bacteria
Description: partial 16S ribosomal RNA
Rfam family: Bacterial small subunit ribosomal RNA
Source: RNAcentral